UACGGAGGGUGCAAGCGUUGUCCGGAAUCACUGGGCGUAAAGGGCGCGUAGGCGGGAUGGCAAGUCGGUCGUGAAAUCCUUCGGCUCAACCGAAGAACGUCGGCCGAUACUGCCGUUCUUGAGGGAUGCAGAGGAGAUUGGAAUUCCCGGUGUAGCGGUGAAAUGUGUAGAGAUCGGGAGGAACACCGGUGGCGAAGGCGGGUCUCUGGGCAUCUCCUGACGCUGAGGCGCGAAAGCGUGGGGAGCAAACAGG
RNAcentral lists this ribosomal RNA (253 nucleotides) under uncultured bacterium. RNAcentral describes it as "partial 16S ribosomal RNA". It matches the Rfam family "Bacterial small subunit ribosomal RNA", at positions 524 to 776 of the family's 1533-position model. The record is from RNAcentral.